Molecule: non-coding RNA, 1647 nt
Organism: Pelobates cultripes (western spadefoot toad)
Lineage: Eukaryota; Metazoa; Chordata; Amphibia; Anura; Pelobatidae
Source: the annotation of a GenBank genome assembly
UCAGAAAAAAUAUUUGUCAUUUAUCAAGUAUUCAAGUUUUUUUUUUUUUUAAUAAUCAAUUUACAAUGCAAUUAUAAACAAUUACAAGCAUACAUUUUCAAAAAAAAAAUUACAUAAUUAAAGGUGCACUCGUCAGUCAGGAAAAAAAAAACCACACCUUUGUAAACAAUUAAAAAGGGGGAAAAUACUCAAUGCCAAUGGUUUCCCUAAAAAAAAACACACACAAACCUUUUCAAGUCUACACCUGGAAAAACUGCCAAAUUCAGUUGUUUUAAUAUGUAAUUUUCAUUUUACACGAGUGGCUACUUCACAUUUAUAAGAUAGAGAACAUACAAUGGUCACUCUAUGGACCAAGUUUCAAUACCAUAGUUAUCCCUGAUUGAACCAAAGACACAACACUGGCUCACUGCGGAGGGCCAAUACGAUUUAAAGAGACAGUGUUUCAGUUAGCAGAUUGGGUACAUGGAGCAGAUUGGGCUAUUACAUGGAGGCUGUUCCUCUUGAAACGAGCCGGUGUUGAGCCUUAGGAACCUUUAGUCAUUUCAGAUCAUGACAUGGAGAAUUUCCCUGUAUUCAGAGCGUAUGUAUUUUAACAAGAAUACAGUCUAGAUUGGAUAAUUAAUUCUCAUGCUGCAAACAGUAACAUUGCCAAGUACAAAGGCAAACCAUCAUCCAGUUGUGUUGGUUUCAAGAGGUUUUCUUCCUGAAUGUGAAAGUUAUAUUGAAAGAAAGAGUAAACCAAAUCUUUUAUAAAUAUGGAGAUAUAUUAGGAGGGUUUAAUUUUGAUAGAAAUACAAACAACUGAAUGGUUUUUGAAGGUUAUGCACUGAAGUAGAAAUGGUUAUGAAUCUAAAGUAGUUUUCAAAUUUUAGGUCAUAGGUGACUUUCCAAUUCAGAUAUUGUGACUUAAAAUAGGGGGAAAAAAUGCAGAACUCACAUUUCCAAAAUUUAAAAAUGUCGCAAACAUUUAAUUGGAAGAAACGGAGGAUAAAUUAUUAAUCGUUUCCUGGAUCCCAAUCCAAUGGUUUAUAGAAAUUAGGCGGGGGUGAGGGGGUAGGAAAUCUGAAUGGGAGCCCAUCAUCUCCAAAAGGGAAACCAUCACCGCUCUUGCACUGCAAUCGAAUUAAAGAGGUGGGUAUUAUACCUCUGUGUGGCCGUGCUCCUCUUCCACUCUUCCCCAAGCAGGUGGCAAAAAACAAAACAAAAAAACCCCCCACAAACUAUUAAAUUUUAAGCUCUUUAAAAAGACAUGACUGGUUCCCUUUAAUAAACUCCCAAAAACUAAAUCUAAUAGCCGAGAACAGAGAAGCAGAAUGACAUUUAUAUAGUUUGCCACUUUCCAUUCAAGACCUUAAAUUCGAGCUACAUUUACCAGCACAACUUUUAUACAUUUUAUUGUUUUGGUCUAAAUAAUUACCUGUUUUUAGCAUGCAGAAUUUUGUAUAUUUUUUCUAAAUACAAAAAGAAUAUACAAAACUACGCAUGCAGCGUGUCAUCAGAAAAGUGAAGAAGGCCACAAAUAUUUGAAGGGGUCAGAGAGCAACAUUUUAAACACCUUGCUAUUAUCCAGGUGUAAACCGUACUGAGCAUGGCAACAAUGUGACAGCUGAGAAAGGACAGCCUGGCAGCACACAUCUCUCUCUCUCC